Molecule: long non-coding RNA, 562 nt
Organism: Rhinopithecus roxellana (golden snub-nosed monkey)
Lineage: Eukaryota; Metazoa; Chordata; Mammalia; Primates; Cercopithecidae
Exons: 3
Source: RefSeq, a predicted model, not a curated record
CAAUGAAAAAAAAAAAAAGUCAAAUCUCUGUUAAUGUGAAAUACAGUUGAGGACAGUUAACUCUCUUAAGUCUAAGGGCCCCCAAACGAUGAAUUCAUUGGUGUGUGUCCAAAGACCCUAGGUCUUUUGUAUAAAUAUUUAUUAGCAGGUUUAGGAUAUUGAUUUCAGGUGCCAUGCCCUUUAUUUCCUUUCGUUAUAGUUCCCAGACGCUUCUGUCUUUUCCAAUUAGGUACUGAAAAGCAUUCAAUAUAGAUUCAGAUAGUAAUUUCAUCUUAGAGUUUUACAGUUAUAGCAAUUAUUUUAAUAAAAUAAUUCUGGUUUCAGUAUCAUAUCAAUAAGCUGUCAAUCAUGACGUCAGAGAAUCAUUUGAACAACAGUGACAAAGAAGUUGAUGAGGUUGAUGCUGCCCUUUCAGACCUGGAGAUUACUUUGGAAGGGGGUAAAACGUCAACAAUUUUGGGUGACAUUACUUCCAUUCCUGAACUUGCUGACUAUAUUAAAGUUUUCAAGCCAAAAAAAGCUGACUCUGAAAGGUUACAAGCAUAUUGGUGCACCUUCAAAG